AUGUAUUUCUUGGGGCUCAGGGGGUCUGGGGUCAUCCUUCCUGCCUCUGGAGAGUCAGCUUCAGAAGCCUCAGUCCUGGCCUCUCUCCAUCCCAGACCUGUGUUUCCAGUCAUUUCCUCACCUGUCCUUGGAUGUGUCAUCCCCACCCCAGACUCGCAGGUCCUUUACAUCUCCUCUUGCCCCCUGUGCCCAGAGGCCCACCUCCUGCCAGUGGUGGCUGCUCAUUUUCCUGAUCCCAUCACCUGGGUCCAAAAUCCCAUCACUUCUGAAAGAAGGGGCACAUGGCGGGCCAGGGGAGCCCUGCUCCAUGGUGGGAGCUGGGUCAAGCCCCUAGGGACCCCUAUGACCUGGGGCCUUGGUUUCCCUUCUGUGAGCUGUGGCCCGUCUAUUCCAGGCAGCGGGGGAGAUGGAGGAUGUGAUAUGAGAUACAGUGCAGUGUGUGAGAUACUCUUCCCGGGAGCUGGGUGUCCUGCACUGCCGUCCACCCUCCAUUCUCCAUUUGUGUGCCCAUGGCUGUCACUAGCAUUCAAAGGCUCUAACUGCCUUCACAAGGGUCCCUCCAGCCCUUCGGCACUGUGUCCAGAAUGGCCCGUGGGUAGGGCAACCCUGAACUUUGCCAAGCCACUCCCUGCUCAGAACCCUCCAGGGCUGAUCAUCACUCAUCACUUACCCCAGACACCAGGGCGUCCUGCACUUGAAGGCCUUUGCCAUGUCCUCCGUAUCCUCUCAUGGGGAUGCCCUGGGCCCCUGGCCUCUCUCUCAGAGUCUCCAGGUCAGUCAGCGUGCAAGCUCCGGGAAACAUGAGCUCAGCUGCCCUGCCCCAGGGAGGGGCGGGAUCGUGGUGGACACGACCCAUGACCUCAUCUCUCCUGGCUCCAGGCAGCAGCCCUGCCCACCUCUGGAGAAUUCCAUG
Molecule: long non-coding RNA, 913 nt
Filed under: Sus scrofa (pig)
Lineage: Eukaryota; Metazoa; Chordata; Mammalia; Artiodactyla; Suidae
Description: lncRNA (ENSSSCG00025004305.1)
Source: RNAcentral